AAGGAGCUGUUGCACACUGCCGUUAAUCUCAGGGCCCCUGCCAUCCCUCUCCUUGGGCUACCAUGGCCAUCGCUUGACUCUAAACAAGCUGACAACAGGUUGUCUGGAGAGUUGGCUGGUGGACAAACUGAGCCUCAGGAAACAGCUUCAAGGUCUCAUACCUUCAAAAACAAGUCUUUUAAAAAAUCUAGAAUCUGUGGAAUCUGCAAACAAGUAAUUGACAGCCAAGGAAUUUCUUGCAGAGUUUGCAAAUAUGCCUGCCACAGGAAAUGUGAAGAAAAG
This 282-nucleotide long non-coding RNA is filed under the name Lepidothrix coronata (blue-crowned manakin). RNAcentral describes it as "lncRNA (ENSLCOG00000011595.1)". The record is from RNAcentral. Lineage: Eukaryota; Metazoa; Chordata; Aves; Passeriformes; Pipridae.